ACGGGAGGCAGCAGUGAGGAAUAUUGGUCAAUGGGCGGAAGCCUGAACCAGCCAAGUCGCGUGAAGGAUGAAGGUAUUAUGUAUUGUAAACUUCUUUAGCUGUGGAGCAAUAAUCUCCAUGUAUGGAGAGAUGAGAGUACACAGAGAAUAAGGAUCGGCUAACUCCGUGCCAGCAGCCGCGGUAAUACGGAGGAUCCGAGCGUUAUCCGGAUUUAUUGGGUUUAAAGGGUGCGCAGGCGGCUUUCUAAGUCAGUGGUCAAAUCGUGGUGCUCAACGCCAUCCCGCCAUUGAUACUGGAGAGCUUGAUUGCGGUCGAGGUUUGCGGAAUUCGUCGUGUAGCGGUGAAAUGCAUAGAUAUGACGAAGAACACCGAUUGCGUAGGCAGCAGACCAGACAGUAAAUGACGCUCAUGCACGAAAGUGCGGGGAUCGAACAGGAUUAGAUACCCUGGUA
RNAcentral lists this ribosomal RNA (453 nucleotides) under uncultured Porphyromonadaceae bacterium. RNAcentral describes it as "partial 16S ribosomal RNA". It matches the Rfam family "Bacterial small subunit ribosomal RNA", at positions 341 to 792 of the family's 1533-position model. Lineage: Bacteria; Pseudomonadati; Bacteroidota; Bacteroidia; Bacteroidales; Porphyromonadaceae. The record is from RNAcentral.